This 164-nucleotide small nucleolar RNA is filed under the name Naumovozyma dairenensis CBS 421. RNAcentral describes it as "Small nucleolar RNA snR70". It matches the Rfam family "Small nucleolar RNA snR70". Lineage: Eukaryota; Fungi; Ascomycota; Saccharomycetes; Saccharomycetales; Saccharomycetaceae. The record is from Rfam by way of RNAcentral.
UUUUAUGAUGAUUAUAUUUAUCGACCGGGCGGACAUAUUAGUAUUAAUGAAGAGAUAGCUUUGCAUUAUUAUCAUUCUUUUGUGUACAAAUUUUUUAAAGGAAUGGUAGCUUAGCGUAUUAUUUCUUUGUUGAGAAUUGAUGAUUGGUCAUGAGAUAGCUGAUU